CUGGUGGUUGGCACCUGUAAUCCCAGCUACAUGGGAGGCUGAGAUUCAAACAGGCUUGAGUGACAACUUAAGGACAAGGCGGCGCCUCAACAAGAUCUCACACAGCGGCUACGGGGGCCAGAGAAGCAGCGCCGCACGGUGCAGCAGGAGGAGGAGGACCUGCACAAGGAAUUGGUUGAAGCUUCAGAGAGAUUGAAAUCCUAGGCCCAAGAACUGAAAGAUGCCCAUCAGCAGCAGAGGCUGGCCCCGCAGGACUUCCGGGAGCUCAGUGAGCUCAUUGCAGAGCUCUGCUCCCAGAAACAGAAGGUGUGGGAAAGGAGGAGGAGAUGGAAGUAGCCACGCAGCAAGUUGACGUGAUGUGGCAGGAGAUCUGAAGAUCCAAGAAGCUGGAAAGCUCCUCUUUCUGUCCCAGCACUUUGGGAGGUCGAGGCCGGCGGAUGGCCUGAGGUCAGGAGUUUCAGACCAGCCUGGGCAAUAUGGUGAAACCCCGUCUCUAUUAAAAAUGCAAAAAUUAACCAGGCAUGGUGGUGGGCACCUGUAAUCCUAGCUAUUGGGAGGCUGAGGGAGGAGAAUUGCUUGAACCUGGGAGGCGGAGGUUGCAAUGUUGCAAUGAGCCAAGAUUACGCCACUGCACUCCAGCCUGGGCAACAAGAGCAAAACUCUGUCUCAAAAAAAAAAAAAAGGAGGAAACUGUUUAGAUAUUUCAGCGAUGGUACUGAUUGGACUUUUGUAUGACCUUAAUAAAACAUCUUUGAGAACUUGG
This is a long non-coding RNA of Macaca mulatta (Rhesus monkey), 763 nucleotides long. RefSeq lists it as uncharacterized. Lineage: Eukaryota; Metazoa; Chordata; Mammalia; Primates; Cercopithecidae. The record is from RefSeq and is a predicted model, not a curated record.